GGCCAGUUAGUUUGCAGAAAUUUUUACUUUGAAAGUAAAAGAAGGGGAGGGGAAUCCCCACUGGCCU
This 67-nucleotide transfer RNA is filed under the name Polyplax asiatica. Its description in RNAcentral is "tRNA-Ser". Lineage: Eukaryota; Metazoa; Arthropoda; Insecta; Psocodea; Polyplacidae. The record is from RNAcentral.